This 1400-nucleotide ribosomal RNA is filed under the name uncultured bacterium. Its description in RNAcentral is "bacterial SSU rRNA". It matches the Rfam family "Bacterial small subunit ribosomal RNA". The record is from RNAcentral.
AGAGUUUGAUCCUGGCUCAGAAUAAACGUUGGCGGCGUGCUUAACACAUGCAAGUCGAGCGUGAAAGUUCCUUCGGGAAUGAGUAAAGCGGCGGACGGGUGAGUUACGCGUGAGAAUCUACCCUUUAGUGAAGAAUACCUUCGAGAAAUCAAAGUUAAUACUGCAUACGUCCCUUCGGGGAGAAAGAUGGCUUUAUGCUGUCGCUAAAGGAUGAGCUUGCGUGCUAUUAGCUAGUUGGUGAGGUAAAGGCUCACCAAGGCGAUGAUGGCUAGCCGGCCUGAGAGGGUGUACGGCCACAUUGGAACUGAGACACGGUCCAGACUCCUACGGGAGGCAGCAGUGGGGAAUAUUGCGCAAUGGGCGAAAGCCUGACGCAGCGACGCCGCGUGAAGGAUGAAGGUCUUCGGAUUGUAAACUUCUGUUAAGUGGGAAGAAAGUAUAAUUUAUAAUACAGAUUAUAUAUGACGGUACCGCUAAGGAAAGCACCGGCUAACUUCGUGCCAGCAGCCGCGGUAAUACGAAGGGUGCAAACGUUAUUCGGAAUUACUGGGCGUAAAGAGCGUGUAGACGGUUCAUUAAGCUUGCUGUUAAAUUUCUCGGCCCAACCGAGAGUCAGCGGUGAGAACUGAUGAGCUAGAGGAUAAGAGAGAGAAGUGGAAUUCUCGGAGUAGCGGUAAAAUGCGUAGAUCUCGAGAGGAACACCGAUGGCGAGGGCAGCUUCUUGGCUUAUUCCUGACGUUGAGACGCGAAAGCGUGGGGAGCAAACAGGAUUAGAUACCCUGGUAGUCCACGCUGUAAACUAUAAUCACUAGAUGUCGGUUCGGCUUUGCUGGAUCGGUAUCGAAGCUAACGCGUUAAGUGAUUCGCCUGGGGACUACGAUCGCAAGAUUAAAACUCAAAGGAAUUGACGGGGGUCCGCACAAGCGGUGGAACAUGUGGUUUAAUUCGACACUACGCGAGGAACCUUACCUGGACUUGACAUGUAUUUGACAGUUGUAGAAAUACAAUCUUUUAGGCUUCGGUCUAGACAGAUGCACAGGUGCUGCAUGGCUGUCGUCAGCUCGUGUCGUGAGAUGUUGGGUUAAGUCCUUUAACGAGCGCAACCCUUGCUGCUAGUUGCUAAUCUUUUAGAUGCACUCUAGUGGGACUGCCUGGGAAACCAGGAGGAAGGUGGGGACGACGUCAAGUCAUCAUGGUCCUUAUGUCCAGGGCUACACACGUGUUACAAUGGUCGGUACAACGGGCAGCGAAUCCGUAAGGAUGAGCAAAUCCUAAUAAAGCCGAUCUAAGUUCGGAUUGAGGUCUGCAACUCGACCUCAUGAAGUUGAAAUCGCUAGUAAUCGCGUAUCAGCAACGACGCGGUGAAUACGUUCUCGGACCUUGUACACACUGCCCGUCAC